GGGUAUAGGAAAUGUUCAUAUAUACUGAAGUUAAAGGUCGCUGUUGUUGGUUUGUGAGCACAUUUAAUCACUUGAUAUCAUACAUUCAACUCUUGUAUAUCAUUGGCUUUCAAAUAUUCGGCUUUGAGCGUUCGUGGUAAAUGUAAAUCUAGGAAAAACGCUUCGGACGCUUAAAAUAUAUAUUCCAAACUUUACGUUGUCGUUACAUUUCCAACUUAUCUUUAUCACUUGUUCCUGUGUUGUGAUGGUGAUGAUGCAAUUCUGCCCCACGUUUUGUAAGAUUGGACGUGCGCCACAAUAUUUUGCAUACAAAUGUAUUUUUA
Molecule: long non-coding RNA, 323 nt
Filed under: Mytilus galloprovincialis (Mediterranean mussel)
Lineage: Eukaryota; Metazoa; Mollusca; Bivalvia; Mytilida; Mytilidae
Source: RNAcentral